UUCUCUGUACUUCUCUAUCAACAUCCUCAAAGCAAAUAUUGCAUCUGCUGUACUCUUUCUUGGCAUGAAACCAUACUGCUGCUCACAGAUGUUCACCUCUGCCCUUAGUCUAGCUUCAACUACUCUUUCCCAUAGCUUCAUCGUGUGGCUCAUCAGCUUUAUUCCUCUGUAGUUGCCACAACUCUGCACAUCUCCCUUGUUCUUAAAGCUGGGCACCAGUACACUUCUCCUCCAUUCCUCAGGCAUCUUCUCACUAUCUAAGAUCCUGCUGAACAACCCAGUCAGAAACUCUACUGCUACCUCUCUGAGACACUUCCAUACCUCCACAGGUAUAUCAUCAGGACCAAGUGCCUUUCCACUCUUCAUCCUCUUCAAUGCCCUCCUCACUUCAUCCUUACUAAUCUUUGCUACUUCCUGGUCCACAACAGUUGCCUCUUCUACUUCUUCGUUCUCUCUCAUUUUUGCUCUGCUCUGCAUCACUUCAUCAAGGUCCAACCAGAAUUUCUCCUUCUCCUCCCGCUCACAUCCAACCUGUGGAGCAUACCCACUAACAACAGUGAACAUCACACCUUCAAUUUCUAGCUUCAGGCUCAUCACUCGAUCUGACACUCUUUUUACCUCCAGGACAUUCCUAACAAACUCCUCCUUCAAGAUAACUCCUACUCCAUUUCUCUUCCUAUCUACACCAUGAUAGAACAACUUGAACCCUGCUCCUAAACUUCUAGCUUUACUACCUUUCCACCUGGUCUCCUGGACACUCAGUAUGUCCACCUUCCUCCUCUGCAUCAUGUCAACCAGCUCUCUACCUUUUCCUGUCAUAGUUCCAAUAUUCAAGGUCCCUACUCUCAGUCCUAGACUCUUGGUGUUCCUCUUGUCUCUCUUCCUACGAACACACCUUCCUCCCCUCCUUCUUUGACCAACAGUAGUCCAUUUUCCACCGGCACCCUGUAGGUCAACAGCACCGAUGGCGGUCAUUGUUAACCCGGGCCUCGACCGAUCCGGUAUGGAAGUCAUACAUUUGAUUCGCAUGUUUGAUUUGGCCAAAGUUUUACGUCGGAUGCCCUUCCUGCCACAACCCUCUGUAUUUAUCCGGGCUUGGGACCGGCACAGUAAGGCACUGUACAUUUACGGUGCUGAAAUAAGAGGAUUUAGAUUUAUUUUCUUAAAAGAAUGACUUGCACAGAUUAAUUAUCAGAAAAGUUGCAGAUGCAUUCAAUAGAUUGUUUCUAUAAGACAGCUGUAAAUGAGACAGAAAAGAUGGUUGAGAGAGAGAGAGAGAGUAUGAUGCACAGCAAAUGUGGACUGCUCUGUGUUUUACUUUCAGAAGUGAAAACAUAGAUUAAAAGUCAGUCAAACUCCUUUCUAGAGCCAGAAAGUGAGUGUGCUUGCUCCUUUAAUGACUUAAUUGUCAUUACAUGCCAGUUAUCCAACUGGAAUGUAAAUGGAACACAUCUAAUAUUGAUAUUAUUCUUUACUGCUAUGUUUUCUCUGCAUGCUGUGAGAAUUUCUUUAGAAUGUGUUGCAGUAAGCUAGUCAUGCUACAUGCAAAAUUUUGUUUCCUAUGAAUGUUUUCUAGGAGACGAACCUGUGACUCAAGAUAAGAAAGGUACUUCAAAGCAGCAGCUUGGACAGAAACAAGGCUCAGGAGGUGCUAGAAAGGGAAAACGAAUGUGGUCAACAGAGGAGGUGAAAGCAGUUGAAAAGUCUCUGAUGGAGUUCAUUCGUACUGGCAAGACCCCUGGGAAAACAAGCCUGUGAGAAGUGCAUCGCUGCUUCCCCUGAAGCCCUCGCUGACAGGGACUGGAAAGCGGUCAAGUUCUAUGUUUAUAACAGAAUUAUUUCCAAUCAGAAACUGUAGACAUGGACCAUGCUUAUGAAGGUAGGCCUACACCUUCCACACCAAGACAGGAGGCCUUCAGUUUCCAUAGGAUACAUGGUGUAUCUACUAUAUGCUGGCUGUACACAUAGUGAGGCUGAAACUGUUCAUCUGUUGUAAAAAGUUACAUGUAAUCACUGUUAAAGGGUUCGAUUAAAGGACCCUGAGAGGUUCCUUUAAAAAAAAAAAAAAACACAUUUUUCCUUUAAUCCGUUUAAAGUUGGACUGAUCAGAGACUUUAUGCAGUCAAUACACUAUUACUGAUGCUGAAAAAUAGUAAACAUUUCAACUGUAAAAAAAAGGAUAAAUGUUGUUCGCUGGCAAACAGAGAAGAAAGUUUUAUCAGCAGCAGGUGGAAGAACCGGUUUGUGUUUUAUAUAUUAAUCAGUGAAUUUAGCCUUUUCCAGGUUGGUUUUCUGGUUAGAUUUAGUGUUUUGUCAGCAUUCAUCAGUUGAUAAUUAUCUCCAGUUGCUUGCAAUAUGGUGCACAUGUUUGCUGUUUUAAAUGUGAUAUUUAGUUUUAAAGAGUUCAAGUCUGUUUUUUGAAACCGAGUGAAAAGUUAAGGGGCCUUUCACUUAUAAUGCAAUGCAGUACAAUGCAACAACUUCCUGGUUCAUUUUUUUUUUUUUUUACUGCGGUAAAACUUUUGGAUAUGUAGGUGCCUUCUCAGACAGAACACCUACAUAUCCAAAUGGUUCACCGCAGUAAAAAGAUGAACCAGGAAAUUGUUGCAUUGUAAGUUUGCUGUACACAUAGUGAGGCUGAAAGUGUCAUCUGUUGUAAAAACUAGAAAAAAGUUGCAUGUAAUCAUUGUUAAAGGGUUUGAUUAAAGCACCCUAAAGGUUAAGGGGCCUUUCACUUAUAAUGCAAUACAAUGCAACAACUUCCUGGUUCAUCUUUUUUACUGCGGUGAACUUUUGGAUACUGUUAUUACUGUAUUAGGUUCACACCUGUUCAUUAAAGGAGACGUGCUCAUU
Molecule: long non-coding RNA, 2853 nt
Organism: Acanthochromis polyacanthus (spiny chromis)
Lineage: Eukaryota; Metazoa; Chordata; Actinopteri; Pomacentridae
Exons: 2
Source: RefSeq, a predicted model, not a curated record